AUGGUUACCCUUACAAAAACACUGACUUUGGUUCUCAAUACAGUAAGUGCUUUUUGUUGGUAGUUUUG
Molecule: microRNA precursor, 68 nt
Organism: Gasterosteus aculeatus (three-spined stickleback)
Lineage: Eukaryota; Metazoa; Chordata; Actinopteri; Perciformes; Gasterosteidae
Rfam family: miR-430 microRNA precursor family
Source: Rfam